UCUCCGUUGGUGAACCAGUGGAGGGAUCAUUAUCGAGUUUAUAACUCCCAAACCCUAUGUGAACUUACCACUUGUUGCUUCGGCGCGCGCUUCGGCGCCGCCGAGGACACUUAAACUCUUUGUUUUUAUAAGCAUUUCUGAGUGGCCGAAAGGCAAAAUACAAAUGAAUCAAAACUUUCAGCAACGGAUCUCUUGGUUCUGACAUCGAUGAAGAACGCAGC
This 221-nucleotide unclassified non-coding RNA is filed under the name plant metagenome. Its description in RNAcentral is "partial contains small subunit ribosomal RNA, internal transcribed spacer 1, and 5.8S ribosomal RNA". The stretch from base 173 to 221 matches the Rfam family "5.8S ribosomal RNA", at positions 1 to 49 of the family's 154-position model. The record is from RNAcentral.